GGGUUGUGAGGUUAAGCGACUAAGCGUACACGGUGGAUGCCCUGGCAGUCAGAGGCGAUGAAGGACGUGCUAAUCUGCGAUAAGCGUCGGUGAGGUGAUAUGAACCGUUAUAACCGGCGAUUUCCGAAUGGGGAAACCCAGUGUGUUUCGACACACUAUCAUUAACUGAAUCCAUAGGUUAAUGAGGCGAACCGGGGGAACUGAAACAUCUAAGUACCCCGAGGAAAAGAAAUCAACCGAGAUUCCCCCAGUAGCGGCGAGCGAACGGGGAGGAGCCCAGAGCCUGAAUCAGUGUGUGUGUUAGUGGAAGCG
RNAcentral lists this ribosomal RNA (312 nucleotides) under Escherichia coli. RNAcentral's name for it is "partial 23S ribosomal RNA". It matches the Rfam family "Bacterial large subunit ribosomal RNA", at positions 1 to 308 of the family's 2925-position model. Lineage: Bacteria; Pseudomonadati; Pseudomonadota; Gammaproteobacteria; Enterobacterales; Enterobacteriaceae. The record is from RNAcentral.